RNAcentral lists this ribosomal RNA (402 nucleotides) under uncultured bacterium. RNAcentral describes it as "bacterial SSU rRNA". It matches the Rfam family "Bacterial small subunit ribosomal RNA", at positions 355 to 774 of the family's 1533-position model. The record is from RNAcentral.
UCGGGAAUUUUGGGCAAUGGGCGAAAGCCUGACCCAGCAACGCCGCGUGAGGGAUGAAGUAUUUCGGUAUGUAAACCUCGAAAGAAUGGGAAGAAUAAAUGACGGUACCAUUUAUAAGCACCGGCUAACUCCGUGCCAGCAGCCGCGGUAAUACGGAGGGUGCAAGCGUUAUCCGGAUUCACUGGGUUUAAAGGGUGCGUAGGCGGAUAGGUAAGUCCGUGGUGAAAUCUCUCGACUUAAUCGGGAAACUGCCAUGGAUACUAUUUAUCUUGAAUGUUGUGGAGGUUAACGGAAUAUGUCAUGUAGCGGUGAAAUGCUUAGAUAUGACAUGGAACACCAAUUGCGAAGGCAGUUAACUACACAAAUAUUGACGCUGGUGCACGAAAGCGUGGGGAUCAAACA